AAAACACGGAUGAACGCUAGCGGCAGGCCUAACACAUGCAAGUCGGGCGGUAGGGGACUUCGGUCCCCGAGAGCGGCGCACGGGUGCGUAACGCGUAUGCAACCUGCCCUACACAGGGGAAUAGCCCGUCGAAAGGCGGAUUAAUGCCCCAUGGUCCCGAGAGGUGGCAUCACCUUUAGGGUAAAGAUUUAUCGGUGUAGGAUGGGCAUGCGUGCCAUUAGCUGGACGGUGGGGUAACGGCCCACCGUGGCGACGAUGGCUAGGGGUUCUGAGAGGAAGGCCCCCCACACUGGGACUGAGACACGGCCCAG
This 311-nucleotide ribosomal RNA is filed under the name uncultured Bacteroidota bacterium. RNAcentral's name for it is "bacterial SSU rRNA". It matches the Rfam family "Bacterial small subunit ribosomal RNA", at positions 27 to 334 of the family's 1533-position model. Lineage: Bacteria; Pseudomonadati; Bacteroidota. The record is from RNAcentral.